Molecule: ribosomal RNA, 301 nt
Filed under: uncultured bacterium
Lineage: Bacteria
Description: partial 16S ribosomal RNA
Rfam family: Bacterial small subunit ribosomal RNA
Source: RNAcentral
CAGCAGCCGCGGUAAGACAGAGGAUGCAAGCGUUAUCCGGAAUGAUUGGGCGUAAAGGGCUCGCAGGCGGUUUCUUAAGUCUGAUGUGAAAGCCCCCGGCUCAACCGGGGAGGGUCAUUGGAAACUGGGAAACUUGAGUGCAGAAGAGGAGAGUGGAAUUCCACGUGUAGCGGUGAAAUGCGUAGAGAUGUGGAGGAACACCAGUGGCGAAGGCGACUCUCUGGUCUGUAACUGACGCUGAGGAGCGAAAGCGCGGGGAGCGAACAGGAUUAGAUACCCGCGUAGUCCCUGUCUCUUAUAC